This is a long non-coding RNA of Dreissena polymorpha, 440 nucleotides long. RefSeq lists it as uncharacterized. NCBI's taxonomy places the organism in Eukaryota, Metazoa, Mollusca, Bivalvia, Myida, Dreissenidae. The record is from RefSeq and is a predicted model, not a curated record. The transcript is spliced from 3 exons.
UGUCUGUUGGUCUGUCUGUUGGUCUGUUGGUCUGUUUGCGCCAACUUAAACAUUUUGCAAUAACUUUUGCUAUAUUGAAGAUAGUAACUUCAUAUUUGGCAUGCAUGUGUAUCUCAUGAAGCUGCACAUUUUGAGUGGUGAAAGGUCAAGGUCAUCCUUCAAGGUCAGAGGUCAAAUAUAUGUGGCCAAAAUCGCUCAUUUUAUGAAUACUUUUGCAAUAUUGAAGAUAGCAACUUGAUAUUUGGCAUGCAUGUGUAUCUUAUGGAGCUGCACAUUUUGAGUGUUGAAAGGUCAAGGUCAGAGGUCAAAUAUAUGUGGCCCAAAUCGCUUAUUUUAUGAAUACUUUUGCAAUAUUGAAGAUAGCAACUUGAUAUUUGGCAUGCAUGUGUAUCAUAUGGAGCUGCACAUUUUGAGUGGUAAAAGGUCAAGGUCAAGGUCAU